This 460-nucleotide ribosomal RNA is filed under the name uncultured bacterium. RNAcentral's name for it is "partial 16S ribosomal RNA". It matches the Rfam family "Bacterial small subunit ribosomal RNA", at positions 338 to 795 of the family's 1533-position model. The record is from RNAcentral.
CCUACGGGCGGCAGCAGUGAGGAAUAUUGGUCAAUGGACGAAAGUCUGAACCAGCCAUGCCGCGUGCAGGAUGACGGCUCUAUGAGUUGUAAACUGCUUUUGUAGGAGGGUAAACUCCCCUACGUGUAGGGGCUUGAAUGUAUCUUACGAAUAAGGAUCGGCUAACUCCGUGCCAGCAGCCGCGGUAAUACGGAGGAUCCAAGCGUUAUCCGGAUUUAUUGGGUUUAAAGGGUGCGUAGGCGGGUUUGUAAGUUAGAGUUGAAAUGCCGGUGCUCAACCCCGGAACUGCCUCUGAUACUGUUGGACUAGAGCGUAGUUGCGGUAGGCGGAAUGUGUGGUGUAGCGGUGAAAUGCUUAGAGAUCAUACAGAACACCGAUUGCGCAGGCAGCUUACCAAACUAUAUCUGACGUUGAUGCACGAAAGCGUGGGUAGCAAACAGGAUUAGAUACCCCGGUAGUC